This 115-nucleotide ribosomal RNA is filed under the name uncultured Pseudomonas sp. Its description in RNAcentral is "partial 16S ribosomal RNA". It matches the Rfam family "Bacterial small subunit ribosomal RNA", at positions 416 to 523 of the family's 1533-position model. Lineage: Bacteria; Pseudomonadati; Pseudomonadota; Gammaproteobacteria; Pseudomonadales; Pseudomonadaceae. The record is from RNAcentral.
CUUCGGAUUGUAAAGCACUUUAAGUUGGGAGGAAGGGCCAUUACCUAAUACGUGAUGGUUUUGACGUUACCGACAGAAUAAGCACCGGCUAACUCUGUGCCAGCAGCCGCGGUAA